UACUGAUUUGUUGAUUGUCGAU
This 22-nucleotide unclassified non-coding RNA is filed under the name Dictyostelium discoideum. The record is from RNAcentral. Lineage: Eukaryota; Evosea; Eumycetozoa; Dictyosteliales; Dictyosteliaceae.